GACGAACGCUGGCGGUGUGCUUAACACAUGCAAGUGGUGCGACGAACCAGAGCUUGCUCUGGGGCAAAGCCGCGAACGGGUGAGUAACACGUGGGUAAUCUACCCCGAUGACCGGGACAACCCGAGGAAACUCGGGCUAAUACCGGAUGUGGUGCGGAGACAUAAGUCUCUUCACUAAAGGUAGCUUCGGCUUCCGCAUUGGGAGGGGCCCGCGGCCCAUUAGCUUGUUGGUGGGGUCAAGGCCUACCAAGGCAACGAUGGGUAGCUGGUCUGAGAGGACGAUCAGCCACACUGGGACUGAGACACGGCCCAGACUCCUACGGGAGGCAGCAGUGGGGAAUCUUGCGCAAUGCGCGAAAGCGUGACGCAGCAACACCGCGUGAGGGAAGAAGGCCUUAGGGUUGUAAACCUCUUUCAGAUGGGACGAAGGUGCUCCGGUGAAUAGCCGAGAGGAUUGACGGUACCGUCAGAAGAAGCUCCGGCUAACUACGUG
RNAcentral lists this ribosomal RNA (493 nucleotides) under uncultured bacterium. RNAcentral describes it as "partial 16S ribosomal RNA". It matches the Rfam family "Bacterial small subunit ribosomal RNA", at positions 28 to 507 of the family's 1533-position model. The record is from RNAcentral.